This is a long non-coding RNA of Pogoniulus pusillus (Red-fronted tinkerbird), 302 nucleotides long. RefSeq lists it as uncharacterized. The record is from RefSeq and is a predicted model, not a curated record. The transcript is spliced from 3 exons. NCBI's taxonomy places the organism in Eukaryota, Metazoa, Chordata, Aves, Piciformes, Lybiidae.
UUUGGCUGCUUUGGCUGCCUGCAGAGCAGCCCAGGCAGCCUCUCGGAAAGACAUUAAAGUAGUCCCUUGGUGCUCAGCCUCCCGCCGCGAUGAACGAUGCCAUUUGCAUCCCAGCAAAGCCAAGGAGGCUGCCUGUACUAACCUGCUCGUGUUCCUGAGGGACUGGGAAUGGGCUGCUCACAAGGACACGCUUGAUGGAGGGCACCUGAAGACCUGAAGGGCAAGCAGCCUGACUCUGGCAGCCACAUCCUGACUCCUGCACAGGGCACAGCCUGGCAAAACACCAGAGGGGCAGGCAAGGG